This 67-nucleotide transfer RNA is filed under the name Orestes mouhotii. Its description in RNAcentral is "tRNA-Asn". The record is from RNAcentral. Lineage: Eukaryota; Metazoa; Arthropoda; Insecta; Phasmatodea; Heteropterygidae.
UUAGUUGAAACCAAAAAUAGAGGUAUAUCACUGUUAAUGAUAUUAUUGAAUAAAUACUCCAACUAAG